Molecule: small RNA, 74 nt
Filed under: Xanthomonas bromi
Lineage: Bacteria; Pseudomonadati; Pseudomonadota; Gammaproteobacteria; Lysobacterales; Lysobacteraceae
Description: sX9 sRNA
Rfam family: Xanthomonas sRNA sX9
Source: RNAcentral
AUGUAUCCACGUGCAGGACGGUUCCUGUACGCCGCCCACACCCGCCUGAGACCGCUCGCUCCGUUUUUUCAGCC